This 253-nucleotide ribosomal RNA is filed under the name uncultured bacterium. RNAcentral's name for it is "partial 16S ribosomal RNA". It matches the Rfam family "Bacterial small subunit ribosomal RNA", at positions 524 to 776 of the family's 1533-position model. The record is from RNAcentral.
UACGAAGGUGGCAAGCGUUACUCGGAAUUACUAGGCGUAAAGGGCCGGUAGGUGGUUUGGUAAGUCUGUUGUGAAAUUUCCCGGCUUAACUGGGAAGGGUCAACAGAUACUGCCAGGCUUGAGUAUAGGAGAGGGUACUGGAAUUCCCGGUGUAGCGGUGAAAUGCGCAGAGAUCGGGAGGAACACCAAUGGCGAAAGCAGGUACCUGGACUAUUACUGACACUCAGCUGCGAAAGCUAGGGGAGCAAACAGG